Molecule: long non-coding RNA, 378 nt
Filed under: Xyrichtys novacula (pearly razorfish)
Lineage: Eukaryota; Metazoa; Chordata; Actinopteri; Labriformes; Labridae
Source: RNAcentral
CUACAUGCUGCUCCGGAAGGGGAUUUUGUCCCCCGCCGCCGGAGUUGUCGGGGAAGAAGCGAGCGGCUAAAAUACGGGAGGAUCCGGUAAACCGGCGCGGAUCCGGUGUGUUUAUCAAAGCGUGGUGGCCGUGCUGAGGCACCGGGGGGAAUUUAGGCUAAACGGUAAGUCAAAAUAAAACGUCCAUACUUACAGAUGCCACGUUUGUAGUAGGAUCACGGAUAGUUGGUACGGAUCCAUUCUUUAUCUUCAGACAUCUAGCAAAUCCAGCGUUGAACUGUCCCUCGUUGAUAAAACAGUCCGAAGUGAAAUGGUGCGCACAUACGUACAGAUAUUUUGGAAGUGCCGCGGGUACAUUCCCAUUAUAAACAAACUCCA